Molecule: microRNA, 19 nt
Filed under: Echinococcus granulosus
Lineage: Eukaryota; Metazoa; Platyhelminthes; Cestoda; Cyclophyllidea; Taeniidae
Description: egr-miR-10275-3p
Source: miRBase by way of RNAcentral
GGUGCCCACAUUGGACGAC